Molecule: ribosomal RNA, 478 nt
Filed under: uncultured bacterium
Lineage: Bacteria
Description: partial 16S ribosomal RNA
Rfam family: Bacterial small subunit ribosomal RNA
Source: RNAcentral
GACGAACGCUGGCGGCGUGCUUAACACAUGCAAGUCGAACAGUAAGGCCCUUCGGGGUACACGAGUGGCGAACGGGUGAGUAACACGUGGGUGAUCUGCCCUGCACUUCGGGAUAAGCCUGGGAAACUGGGUCUAAUACCGGAUAGGACUCCUGGCUUCAUGGUUGGGGUUGGAACGCUUUUUCGGUGUGGGAUGGGCCCGCGGCCUAUCAGCUUGUUGGUGGGGUAAUGGCCUACCAAGGCGACGACGGGUAGCCGGCCUGAGAGGGUGACCGGUCACACUGGGACUGAGAUACGGCCCAGACUCCUACGGGAGGCAGCAGUGGGGAAUAUUGCACAAUGGGCGCAAGCCUGAUGCAGCGACGCCGCGUGAGGGAUGACGGCCUUCGGGUUGUAAACCUCUUUCAGCUAUGACGAAGCGCAAGUGACGGUAGUAGCAGAAGAAGGACCGGCCAACUACGUGCCAGCCGCCGCCGUAA